AAAAUAAACUGACAACACCAUGGCUAAAAAUGAAAAAGACAAACAGAAAAACAACAGCACACAUGACACAACAUAGAAAACUAAAGAAUAAACAACAUGAACCCUACUAAAAACUAGGGGUGUGACAAUCAGAAUUCUUUUUAAAAAAAAAGAAAGGCGAAAGAUACAACAUUUAAACUCAUAACUCGAAAAAAAGCUGACAAC
Molecule: long non-coding RNA, 204 nt
Filed under: Mytilus galloprovincialis (Mediterranean mussel)
Lineage: Eukaryota; Metazoa; Mollusca; Bivalvia; Mytilida; Mytilidae
Source: RNAcentral